CUCUCGCUUCACCUGGAAGAGAUAUACCAGCGUGGCAACAGAGACAAGGGGGAGGAUUUAAAUUGCAACCUCAACGGCUAGUAUUUAGUUGUUUUAGGAUUUUUUUUUUAUGUACACCCACUAUGUUCAUUAUGUGAAGCUUCUUGGUUCAGGACACAGCCCAGAAAUAUAUUAAUUAAAGCGCACGACAACAGACUUUUUAGCACAUGGGGAAGAAGUGGCUGGAUGAAGUCAUACUCUGUCAACGACGGAUGGACGAAGAUUCACCGCAGGAAAAGAAAGAAAUCAUUCUGAAUGGUCCUCUACAAGUCUUGGUGCUUGUUUUUGAGAGAGCUGCUGCGCGUGGUGACGAUGUUGG
Molecule: long non-coding RNA, 358 nt
Organism: Pseudoliparis swirei
Lineage: Eukaryota; Metazoa; Chordata; Actinopteri; Perciformes; Liparidae
Exons: 3
Source: RefSeq, a predicted model, not a curated record